CAUUUCCUGGGACCUAGAACGGGCCUAGCUCAGAGCAGGUGCUCACUAUUGAUGGAAUGCAUGUUGAAAGAAUGCAUGAAUCUCAUCUCCUUUUGUGGGUGAAAAUCUCAUCCUAUUCUCACUCCUGAUUAACUUUCUUUCUUUUUUUUUUUUCAAAACGGAGCCCUGAUCUGUCACCCAGGCUGGAGUGCAAUGGUGCCAUCUCAGCUCGCUGCAACCUCUGCCUUCUGGAUUAAAGCAAUUCUCCUGCCUCAGCCUCCCGGGUAGCUGGGAUUACAGGGGAGUCCUUGAGCAGAAGGAAGCAAGUUGCCUGAGAUUCUUCAAAGCCCGCAGCCCUUUUGGAGGUUAGAUGGUUAUUCUCAGAGCCUUUAUGAUGCAUAAUAAAGACCUAGCUUGGACCAAUAUUAGGAUGAGUUAUCUUGCUAUUAACAUUCUUUUAGGUAGAAGUUGCUGGUCCCAUCUUGCUCACAAUCCUCCAAAGUUUGAAAGUUAUUUUCCAGGAGACUUGGCUUGCACUGAGAGCUGCCCUCCCACCCUCUCUCCAAAUUUCCUCUUGGGGGUAGCCUAACAAGGUGCUGUCACAGACCCUUGUCGGCCACGAUGACCCCACCCAGACCAUCCCUCUGCUGUUUCACUCUUUGAUAGUCUCUGGAGCUCUCUGGGGAGGGGU
RNAcentral lists this long non-coding RNA (670 nucleotides) under Homo sapiens (human). Its description in RNAcentral is "non-protein coding lnc-ALG1L-2:26". The record is from RNAcentral. Lineage: Eukaryota; Metazoa; Chordata; Mammalia; Primates; Hominidae.